CACAGCCUUUUGCUAGGAUGUAGAUUCCUCCCUAUUUAAUUCAAUGACAUUUGUUUCUAUAAAUUUAAUAUAGACUACAGACUUUUGAGAACGUAUCCCAAGACACAUGAUUACCAGCACCUGGUGUUCAACCUCCUCCUGCCCUGACUGAAAGUCUCCCACCAGGAAAUGACAAAGGCUGCCAGCCUAUUCAUUCUUGAGGAAUUUGAUGUCUCUCAACUGUUAUGUGCAAGUUGGGAAAUAAACUUCCUGCCACUGAAACUCUUCAAUGAGCAAAUACAAGUUUGUUCUUUGUAUUAACAAUGAGAAAAUGAUUUUCUUAAAACCAAACAAAGUAUUGUCUGGACAAAUGUCGGUGUGUUGGAUUAUGUUCCUAAACCAUCAAACAGUAGAUGUACUUCACGUUGCAGUUUUUCAAAGAUCCAUUGAGGAUUCAAGAAAGCCUGCAGGAACUCAAUCCCAGAGGAAAAAGAAUGAAUUUUAAAAGCUCAUCCUACUGAUGUUUCAGACCAGUUGAUUGUGAGGUGCCUAAAGGCAUGCAGGAGAGAAAGCUGUCCAGGCAGAUUAAAACACAGGCCUCAAGGCUCCAGAGGGAGGCACGUAGUUGAGCACCCCAUGGCUCCACAGUAAAAGAGAGCAGAAUCAACCACACUCUGUCUGGACCACCGGGACUCAGAAUUCCUCACUCAAAACCAGACAAUCUGGGAAGGCUCCUGCAAAGUUUCAUGGUUAAUGACUGACAAGCACAUUAACAUUUAUACACAGAAUUCUGUGACCCUUGGCAGACCCUUCACAAGGGUUUUGCCGGUUCAGAUCCUGGGCAUGGACAUGGCACCGCUCAUCAAGCCAUGCUGAGGCGGCAUCCCACAUAGCACAACAAGAAGGACCUACAGCUAGAAUGUACAACUAUGCACUGGGGGGUCUUG
This 926-nucleotide long non-coding RNA is filed under the name Equus caballus (horse). RNAcentral describes it as "lncRNA (ENSECAG00000039527.2)". The record is from RNAcentral. Lineage: Eukaryota; Metazoa; Chordata; Mammalia; Perissodactyla; Equidae.